GGAAUAUUGGUCAAUGGGUGAGAGCCUGAACCAGCCAUGCCGCGUGCAGGAAGACGGCCUUCUGGGUUGUAAACUGCUUUUGCCAGGGGCUAAAAAGCCCGUGCGCGGGAAAUUGAAAGUACCUGGUGAAUAAGCCACGGCUAACUACGUUCCAGCAGCCGCGGUAAUACGUAGGUGGCAAGCGUUGUCCGGAUUUAUUGGGUUUAAAGGGUGCGUAGGCGGCCUUGUAAGUCAGUGCUGAAAUACCCCGGCUGAACCGGGGGGGUGGCAUUGAUACUGCAGGGCUUGAGUAAAGAUGAUGUAGGCGGAAUUGACGGUGUAGCGGUGGAAUGCAUAGAUAUCGUCAAGAACACCAAUAGCGAAGGCAGCUUACUAAGCUUUAACUGACGCUGAUGCACGAAAGUGUGGGGACCAAA
This 416-nucleotide ribosomal RNA is filed under the name uncultured bacterium. RNAcentral describes it as "bacterial SSU rRNA". It matches the Rfam family "Bacterial small subunit ribosomal RNA", at positions 358 to 772 of the family's 1533-position model. The record is from RNAcentral.